RNAcentral lists this ribosomal RNA (134 nucleotides) under Pseudomonas sp. NFPP09. RNAcentral describes it as "23S rRNA. Bacterial LSU". It matches the Rfam family "Bacterial large subunit ribosomal RNA", at positions 1 to 130 of the family's 2925-position model. Lineage: Bacteria; Pseudomonadati; Pseudomonadota; Gammaproteobacteria; Pseudomonadales; Pseudomonadaceae. The record is from RNAcentral. RNAcentral also lists the same sequence under 1 other name.
UAUGGUCAAGUGAAGAAGCGCAUACGGUGGAUGCCUUGGCAGUCAGAGGCGAUGAAAGACGUGGUAGCCUGCGAUAAGCUUCGGGGAGUCGGCAAACAGACUUUGAUCCGGAGAUCUCUGAAUGGGGGAACCCA